CCUACGGGUGGCAGCAGUGAGGAAUAUUGGUCAAUGGGCGCGAGCCUGAACCAGCCAAGUAGCGUGAAGGAUGACUGCCCUACGGGUUGUAAACUUCUUUUAUAAAGGAAUAAAGUGAGGCACGUGUGCCUUUUUGUAUGUAUUUUAUGAAUAAGGAUCGGCUAACUCCGUGCCAGCAGCCGCGGUAAUACGGAGGAUCCGAGCGUUAUCCGGAUUUUUUGGGUUUAAAGGGAGCGUAGAUGGGUUGUUAAGUCAGUUGUGAAAGUUUGCGGCUCAACCGUAAAAUUGCAAUUGAUACUGGUCGCCUUGAGUACAGUUGAGGUAGGCGGAAUUCGUGGUGUAGCGGUGAAAUGCGUAGAUAUAACGAAGAACACCGAUUGCGAAGGCAGCCUACUAAACUGCCACUGACAUUGAUGCGCGAAAGUGUGGGGAUCAAACAGGAUUAGAUACCCGGGUAGUC
RNAcentral lists this ribosomal RNA (460 nucleotides) under uncultured bacterium. Its description in RNAcentral is "partial 16S ribosomal RNA". It matches the Rfam family "Bacterial small subunit ribosomal RNA", at positions 338 to 795 of the family's 1533-position model. The record is from RNAcentral.